UUCCAGCGAUUUUAGUGGUAAACGCUGGAAGAGCAGCUGUUUAAUUUGGUUUUGCGGCAAAUUUCAAAGAACCGCCCUUAAUCUCCCUUUUCUUUGGCGAUUGAAAAAUAUCCCCCUUUCCUAAAAGCACAACCCUCAGCAACUUCAUAAAAAAAGAAAGAAAGAAAGAAAUGUAAAGAGAAGAGGGGGAGAAACGGAGAAUAAGAGGGAAAGGAGGAAGGAGCCGCCCGACGCUGCUGAGUUCGCCGCCGCCGUCGCAUUGCCGUGCCGUCGGAAAGCCAAAACCGCAAGAGAAAGAACCGUGAAGAGAGAGGGAGACCGCAUCAGCUCACCACGAUGCCAGCGCCGUCGUCGUCCUCAUCGCGGGUCUUCACCGUCGCGUCUUGCCACCGCCGCCACCACUAAGCUUGCCGUCGUCGCCACUGAAGCCGAAGAGAGAGAGAGAGAGAGUUCGCGAAGAGAGAGAGAACCACUCACGAAGGAGAAGAACGGCGAAGAGUGAAGGAGAAGCAGAAGACGAUGAACGCAGGGGAGAAGGAGGAGGUCCGUUCUCGCACCGUCCUGCUCUGCCGCCACCGCUGCCAUCGAUUGGGGUCAAGCCGUCGCCGUCGCACCCUGUUCCCGUCGCCAUUAGGGUUUGCUGCUGCUGCCAUUGAUAGAUCUGCCGCUGGGAGGAGCCGAAUAGGGAGAGGAGGUCACCGUCGAACAUGCCGCCACCAGUUACAAUCGUCGCCGAAACCGGGACAGAUUCACCGACUUAUUACUUCAGGCAAGGGAUCUUAUUUCGAAGAUCACCGAGGAGAGGAGUUCUAUUAUUGAUCAAAAUAAAAGACCUCUGCAAGAACUGGUUCUUGCAGCCACUUAAGUUCUAGGUCAGGAGGGUCAAAGUUGGUUUCAGGAUACUGCUGAUGCUAUAACUGUAAGGCAGUUUCAAUGGCUAAUUAAGGAUCCAAGAGCAAGGAACAUUGAGGAUGUAUUGAUUCUUUCUGGGGAUCACCUGUAUAGAAUGAACUACAUGGAUUUGAUUCAAGUUCACCGGGAGAACAAAGCUGAAUUAGGAAUUGACUGUAAAAGGAGGUGUGGAUGAAAGGUUGGUUUCUUUGUUAGAGACACUAUUGACAUGUUUAUGUAGUAGUUGAUAAUUUUAUUCUUGAUGAAUGAUGAUCUCUUUGAAGUAUAGAUGAUGUUCUUCUCUAAUCAUGUAGUUUACUUAUUUUGACUCUGACUUAUAGAGAAUUUUGAUUUUUUCAAAGAUGCUGCCACCAAUGUAUCUCUGGCAGUUUCAAGGCGAGACAUGGCAACACAAAUGAUAAAUAUAUUAUUUUAUUUUUCAGUUA
Molecule: long non-coding RNA, 1337 nt
Organism: Arachis stenosperma
Lineage: Eukaryota; Viridiplantae; Streptophyta; Magnoliopsida; Fabales; Fabaceae
Exons: 5
Source: RefSeq, a predicted model, not a curated record